GCCAGGACUAUGAAAAUUGAGAGGUUUAUAUUCUCUUUUUGGUUUGGGGGGAUGGAAGAAAAAGAAGGAAUUAAAAUUCUGAGUCUCAGUUUAGCCUAAAAUGGAAAAAAAAAAUCAUAAUUAUUUCAUUCCUGGCUCAGGAGGCUAGCUGAUUCAUUGUGAUGCAAUCUGCAGCAAAUAUUUGGACCUCUGAGAACUUGAAAACCCACUAGUAUUUGUAAACUUUUUCAUAGCUCAGGACUUGUGGAUUUUGUAAUUACUGCUGAGAUCUCUGGUCGAAUUUGUACAUUCUGCUAGACAAACUGCUUUGAAGCUCUAAUUUCCUUAAAACUUACUAAAAUAGAAAUUGAGACAACUGUACAUAAGAUCUGGUACUGAUGCCACCUGUGUAAAUUUUAUGGCCAAGUUUGAAUACAAUGAAAUGAAUCUCUGAUUUAUUCUCAGACUUGUGAAAUAAUAGCCAGACAUUUAAUUGCACAAUCUUUGCAGCAAUUAAUUAUUUCAUCAUAUCGUGCUAUAAUCAAGAAGGAAGUCAGGGAAGGAAGGCUGUUGUAUUUUUUGUUAUACUUGGAAAUGCUGCAAUUAGUGGAGACAGAGGCUCAUGAAUAAAUAAAACUUUACUGAUGGUCUCUCAUAUAUACAUAUUUAUGAUUUGAAGGAAGCAAUUGAUUUAGACACAAGUGAAAGUCUGUUAUGAGGACUUCUGAAAUAUCUGCAGUGAACUUCCAGCUUUAUUCUAAAGCACAAAGUGAUUAAUCACAAUUUACAUGUUGUAAUGUUUUUAUUACAAACACUUGGCUACAUCUCAGUAACUUCAUCUAAAUAAACACUUUUAUCCUUUGUGUGGUGACUUUUCAAAGAGAGACAGAAAGAGAGACACUCAGUUUACUGAAGAAAAGUUGUGCAUGUAGGUGGUGGCUCCUGUGACGAUAACCUGUGACCGUACCCCCUCCAGUGAGCUGUGGUGGAUGGUCAUGUUCCCAGUGACAUCCCAAAUGCCAGGACGUUUGCAUUCAGGAGGCUUUGGACCUGAUAACAGUGCCAUACAGCUCCCCUUCCACCAGGCAUU
RNAcentral lists this long non-coding RNA (1069 nucleotides) under Anas platyrhynchos platyrhynchos (common mallard). RNAcentral describes it as "lncRNA (ENSAPLG00000023718.1)". The record is from RNAcentral. Lineage: Eukaryota; Metazoa; Chordata; Aves; Anseriformes; Anatidae.